GGACCCGCACAAGCGGUGGAUGAUGUGGUUUAAUUCGAUGCAACGCGAAAAACCUUACCCACCUUUGACAUGUACGGAAUUUGCCAGAGAUGGCUUAGUGCUCGAAAGAGAGCCGUAACACAGGUGCUGCAUGGCUGUCGUCAGCUCGUGUCGUGAGAUGUUGGGUUAAGUCCCGCAACGAGCGCAACCCUUGUCAUUAGUUGCUACAUUUAGUUGGGCACUCUAAUGAGACUGCCGGUGACAAACCGGAGGAAGGUGGGGAUGACGUCAAGUCCUCAUGGCCCUUAUAGGUGGGGCUACACACGUCAUACAAUGGCUGGUACAAAGGGUUGCCAACCCGCGAGGGGGAGCUAAUCCCAUAAAGCCAGUCGUAGUCCGGAUCGCAGUCUGCAACUCGACUGCGUGAAGUCGGAAUCGCUAGUAAUCGUGGAUCAGAAUGUCACGGUGAAUACGUUCCCGGGUCUU
Molecule: ribosomal RNA, 465 nt
Filed under: uncultured bacterium
Lineage: Bacteria
Description: bacterial SSU rRNA
Rfam family: Bacterial small subunit ribosomal RNA
Source: RNAcentral